Molecule: ribosomal RNA, 422 nt
Filed under: uncultured Niastella sp.
Lineage: Bacteria; Pseudomonadati; Bacteroidota; Chitinophagia; Chitinophagales; Chitinophagaceae
Description: bacterial SSU rRNA
Rfam family: Bacterial small subunit ribosomal RNA
Source: RNAcentral
UAAGGAAUAUUGGUCAAUGGACGCAAGUCUGAACCAGCCAUGCCGCGUGGAGGAUGAAGGUCCUCUGGAUUGUAAACUUCUUUUAUCGGAGAAGAAACCCCCGAGUUCUCUUGGGGUUGACGGUACCCGAUGAAUAAGCACCGGCUAACUCCGUGCCAGCAGCCGCGGUAAUACGGAGGGUGCAAGCGUUAUCCGGAUUCACUGGGUUUAAAGGGAGCGUAGGUGGGCUGGUAAGUCAGUGGUGAAAUCUCCGGGCUUAACUCGGAAACUGCCGUUGAUACUAUCAGUCUUGAAUAUUGUGGAGGUAAGCGGAAUAUGUCAUGUAGCGGUGAAAUGCUUAGAUAUGACAUAGAACACCGAUAGCGAAGGCAGCUUGCUACACAAUUAUUGACACUGAGGCUCGAAAGCGUGGGGAUCAAACA